UGCAAGUUGAGCGAAGCUUUUUGGUAGUUUGCUACUAGAAAUGACUGAGCGGCGAACGGGUGAGUAACGCGUGAGCAAUCUACCUUAGUUACUGGGAUAGCCCGAGGAAACUCGGAUUAAUACCGGAUAUUCUUAUUUUUUCACAUGAAGUUUUAAGGAAAGGUCAGCCGAACUAAGAUGAGCUCGCGUUCUAUCAGCUAGUUGGUGGGGUAAAAGCCUACCAAGGCUACGACGGAUAGCUGGUCUGAGAGGACGAUCAGCCACACUGGGACUGAGACACGGCCCAGACUCCUACGGGAGGCUGCAGCAGGGAAUAUUGUGCAAUGAGCGAAAGCUUGACACAGCGACACCGCGUGUGGGAUGACGGUUCUAGGAUUGUAAACCACUUUCAGGAGGGAAGAAAAUGACGGUACCUCCACAAGAAGACCCGGCCAACUAUGUGCCAGCAGCCGCGGUAAUACAUAGGGGUCAAGCGUUGUCCGGAUUUAUUGGGCGUAAAGAGCUCGUAGGCGGUUCAACAAGUCGGUCGUAAAAGUUUAGGGCUCAACCCUAAAAUGUCGAUCGAUACUGUUGUGACUAGGAUACGGUAGAGGUGAAUGGAAUUCCGAGUGUAGCGGUGAAAUGCGUAGAUAUUCGGAGGAACACCAAUUGCGAAGGCAGUUCACUGGACCGUGAUCGACGCUGAGGAGCGAAAGCUAGGGGAGCAAACAGGAUUAGAUACCCUGGUAGUCCUAGCUGUAAACGAUGGAUACUAGAUGUAGAACUGGAUUGACGGUUUCUGUAUCGUAGCUAACGCGUUAAGUAUCCCGCCUGGGGAGUA
Molecule: ribosomal RNA, 820 nt
Filed under: uncultured marine bacterium
Lineage: Bacteria
Description: bacterial SSU rRNA
Rfam family: Bacterial small subunit ribosomal RNA
Source: RNAcentral